GAUGAACGCUGGCGGCGUGCCUAAUACAUGCAAGUCGAGCGAAUAGACGAGGAGCUUGCUCCUCUGACGUUAGCGGCGGACGGGUGAGUAACACGUGGAUAACCUACCUAUAAGACUGGGAUAACUUCGGGAAACCGGAGCUAAUACCGGAUAAUAUCUUGAACCGCAUGGUUCAAUAGUGAAAGACGGUUUUGCUGUCACUUAUAGAUGGAUCCGCGCCGCAUUAGCUAGUUGGUAAGGUAACGGCUUACCAAGGCAACGAUGCGUAGCCGACCUGAGAGGGGGAUCGGCCACACUGGAGCUGAGACACGGUCCAGACUCCUACGGGAGGCAGCAGUAGGGAAUCUGCCGCAAUGGGCGAAAGCCUGACGGAGCAACGCCGCGUGAGUGAUGAAGGUCUUCGGAUCGUAAAACUCUGUUAUGAGGGAAGAACAAAUGUGUAAGUAACUAUGCACGUCUUGACGGUACCUAAUCAGAAAGCCACGGCUAACUACGUG
This 497-nucleotide ribosomal RNA is filed under the name uncultured bacterium. RNAcentral's name for it is "partial 16S ribosomal RNA". It matches the Rfam family "Bacterial small subunit ribosomal RNA", at positions 28 to 507 of the family's 1533-position model. The record is from RNAcentral.